UUGAACGCUGGCGGCAGGCCUAACACAUGCAAGUCGCGCGGAUGAAGGGAGCUUGCUCCUGGAUUCAGCGGCGGACGGGUGAGUAAUGCCUAGGAAUCUGCCUGGUAGUGGGGGAUAACGUCCGGAAACGGGCGCUAAUACCGCAUACGUCCUGAGGGAGAGAGUGGGGGAUCUUCGGACCUCACGCUAUCAGAUGAGCCUAGGUCGGAUUAGCUAGUUGGUGGGGUAAAGGCCUACCAAGGCGACGAUCCGUAACUGGUCUGAGAGGAUGAUCAGUCACACUGGAACUGAGACACGGUCCAGACUCCUACGGGAGGCAGCAGUGGGGAAUAUUGGACAAUGGGCGAAAGCCUGAUCCAGCCAUGCCGCGUGUGUGAAGAAGGUCUUCGGAUUGUAAAGCACUUUAAGUUGGGAGGAAGGGCAGUAAGUUAAUACCUUGCUGUUUUGACGUUACCAACAGAAUAAGCACCGGCUAACUUCGUG
Molecule: ribosomal RNA, 483 nt
Filed under: uncultured bacterium
Lineage: Bacteria
Description: partial 16S ribosomal RNA
Rfam family: Bacterial small subunit ribosomal RNA
Source: RNAcentral